GCCUGGGUAGCUUAGCGGUAAAGCGCGUCCUUGGUAAGGACGAGACCCCGGGUUCAAAUCCCGGCCUAGGCUC
RNAcentral lists this transfer RNA (73 nucleotides) under Haloferax volcanii. Its description in RNAcentral is "tRNA-Thr". It matches the Rfam family "tRNA". From Rfam's summary of the family: Transfer RNA (tRNA) molecules are approximately 80 nucleotides in length. Their secondary structure includes four short double-helical elements and three loops (D, anti-codon, and T loops). Lineage: Archaea; Methanobacteriati; Methanobacteriota; Halobacteria; Halobacteriales; Haloferacaceae. RNAcentral also lists the same sequence under 5 other names. The record is from RNAcentral.